RNAcentral lists this ribosomal RNA (295 nucleotides) under Bacillus cereus. RNAcentral describes it as "partial 23S ribosomal RNA". It matches the Rfam family "Bacterial large subunit ribosomal RNA", at positions 2635 to 2925 of the family's 2925-position model. The record is from RNAcentral. Lineage: Bacteria; Bacillati; Bacillota; Bacilli; Caryophanales; Bacillaceae.
UCCCUAUCCGUCGUGGGCGUAGGAAAUUUGAGAGGAGCUGUCCUUAGUACGAGAGGACCGGGAUGGACGCACCGCUGGUGUACCAGUUGUUCUGCCAAGGGCAUAGCUGGGUAGCUAUGUGCGGAAGGGAUAAGUGCUGAAAGCAUCUAAGCAUGAAGCCCCCCUCAAGAUGAGAUUUCCCAUAGCGUAAGCUAGUAAGAUCCCUGAAAGAUGAUCAGGUUGAUAGGUUCGAGGUGGAAGCAUGGUGACAUGUGGAGCUGACGAAUACUAAUAGAUCGAGGACUUAACCAUAUAA